This is a long non-coding RNA of Mustela lutreola (European mink), 1486 nucleotides long. RefSeq lists it as uncharacterized. The record is from RefSeq and is a predicted model, not a curated record. Lineage: Eukaryota; Metazoa; Chordata; Mammalia; Carnivora; Mustelidae. The transcript has 3 exons.
CCUGCUCUGAGGAAUGCCAGCCUCCCUGUGUGAGCUACCCUAUGGAGAGGCCCAGCAGGCAAGGAACUCCUGUCUCUGCCCACUAGCUAGUGAGGACAUGAGACCUACCAACAGCUGGAUGAAUGAUCUUGAAAGUGGAUAUUCUGAGGCUUGCCAACAGCCACGUGAGUGAUCUUGGAAGAACGUUCUCUCAGACAAGACUUGAGGUGAAGGCCACCUUAGCCGACACCUUGACAGCACCCUGGGACAGGCUCUGAGCUAAAGGAUUCUGGUAAGCUCUUCCUGGAUUCCAGACCCAUAGAAACUGUGAGAAAGAAGCAAAAGGGGAAGGAGGAGGAGGAAAAAGAAUCUCAAGCAGACUUUUUGCUCAGUGUAGGGCCCUGUGCGCAGUUCGAACCCAUGACACUGAGAUCAUGACCUGAGUCAAAAUCAAGAGUCAGACACUCAACUGACUGUGUCACCCAGGAGACCAUGCAGUCCUCCCAUGCCUGGAGCCUUCCACAGCCUCAGAUGAUGCAAUGGACCAGAACAGAACAGGCCUCAUCAGAGUGAAGAGACUGUAUUGUGAGAGCCUUCAUGAACAGAGGGCAGGAUUUCAGUUCCUCCAUCAGAACUGCCUGAUUACAGGCUGAACUGAGUAGUUGACACAAUGAUCAUGUGGCCCAUGAGACCUAAAAUAUUUACUGACCCUGUUCAGAAAAAUGUUGCCAACUCCUAGUAUAGGAAAUACUGAAUUUUAGGGCUAUAAUAAACAUAGUGUAUUGAUCUCAGGCAAUUGAGGGUGCUAAUGAUUAUAGGAAGAUGUAAAAUAAUGGAUUAUAUAAUUUGAUGAUUUAUUGGAAAAUAAAAUUAGGAAUUGCUUGGUUUGCCUAGUUAUCACAGACUCUGGUGGCAUAAACAGCAACCUAUUAUUUCUCAUAGGUCUGGAGGUGGGACAUCCUAAAUCAGAGUACUGGCAGAUCUGGUGUCUGGUGUAGGCCUCCGUGCAGGCCUGCCACCUUGUCAUAUCCUCAUGUGGCCAGAAAAGACCUAGCUAGCCCUCUAGCCUUUCCUUGUAAGGGCGUUAAUCCCAGUCUUGAGGGUGGAGCCCUCCCAAAGGUCCCACCUCACAAUACAAUCACAUUGGGAUUAAGGUUUUAACAUAUGAAUUUUAUUGGAAAACACGAACACUCAGUACAUAACAGGAACAAUGCAGAAAUUAUAUAAAAUCUGAAUUAAAAUAAUUGAUCUCAAUUUGGAAAAGAGAAGAAGGAAAGAGAGAAUCAAAUCCAGAACUAAAAUAGUCCAAUAAAGCCCUAAGUGUUAGCAUUUAUUAAGUACCAGCCUGAAUCAAAAGUUUAUAAUGGGCUUAUAAUAAAAAAGUGGAAGAACUAGGUUAUGAAAAAUCAUGUAUCAUCUUGACAAGUUAGAAAGAUGUAUCAAAUGUAUGUAUUUAUGAUUUAAAUGAAAAUUAUUAUGGUAGGUAUUUUUAAAAUAUUUUAUAAUU